Molecule: long non-coding RNA, 353 nt
Filed under: Vigna radiata
Lineage: Eukaryota; Viridiplantae; Streptophyta; Magnoliopsida; Fabales; Fabaceae
Description: long non-coding RNA (VRAD_LNC008002)
Source: RNAcentral
GGGGUAGUUGGGAAAAUCAUGUUACAAAGGAGCAUUGAGAAAAACAAGAAAAGAAAGAAAAGGAAAAGAAGAAAGAAGAACAAAAUCAAGAAAAAGAAUACAAUGAAUGAAAGUUGGAAACUGAGUAGAGAAUUGGUUUUAAUUGUCUUGAAGAAAAAGAGAGAAUGAUGUUAUCCUACUUUGAUUUGUCUACUCUCUUAACUCAAGGUGAUUUGUAUCUAGAAAAACCAAAUUUUCUUCUUAGCCCAACUACAAUUCUAGCCUCAAAAAGUCCUUGUGAUGAUAAUGUGCAUGUGAAUGUGUUUGACUUGGAAUGAAAUGAAAGGCAAAGUUGAUCUGUGUGACAUUGUGAU